UGGAAACUNUCUGACUUGAGUGCAGAAGGGGAGAGUGGAAUUCCAUGUGUAGCGGUGAAAUGCGUAGAUAUAUGGAGGAACACCAGUGGCGAAAGCGGCUNUCUGGUCUGUCACUGACGCUGAGGCUCGAAAGCGUGGGUAGCGAACAGGAUUAGAUACCCUGGUAGUNCACGCCGUAAACGAUGAGUGCUAGGUGUUAGGCCCUUUCCGGGGCUUAGUGCCGGAGCUAACGCAAUAAGCACUCCGCCUGGGGAGUACGACCGCAAGGUUGAAACUCAAAGGAAUUGACGGGGGCCCGCACAAGCGGUGGAGCAUGUGGUUUAAUUCGAAGCAACGCGAAGAACCUUACCAGGUCUUGACAUCCCGAUGCUAUUCUUAGAGAUAGGAAGUUACUUCGGUACAUCGGAGACAGGUGGUGCAUGGUUGUCGUCAGCUCGUGUCGUGAGAUGUUGGGUUAAGUCCCGCAACGAGCGCAACCCUUAUUGUUAGUUGCCAUCAUUAAGUUGGGCACUCUAGCGAGACUGCCGGUAAUAAACCGGAGGAAGGUGGGGAUGACGUCAAAUCAUCAUGCCCCUUAUGACCUGGGCUACACACGUGCUACAAUGGUCGGUACAACGAGUUGCGAGCCGGUGACGGCAAGCUAAUCUCUGAAAGCCGAUCUCAGUUCGGAUUGGAGGCUGCAACUCGCCUCCAUGAAGUCGGAAUCGCUAGUAAUCGCGGAUCAGCACGCCGCGGUGAAUACGUUCCCGGGCCUUGUACACACCGCCCGUCACACCACGAGAGUUUGUAACACCCGAAGUCGGUGAGGUANCCUUUUAGGG
This 821-nucleotide ribosomal RNA is filed under the name uncultured bacterium. RNAcentral's name for it is "bacterial SSU rRNA". It matches the Rfam family "Bacterial small subunit ribosomal RNA", at positions 627 to 1447 of the family's 1533-position model. The record is from RNAcentral.